AACUUGUGAUGUUACAAAUUUGCUACUUCUGAUGGAGAUGAUUACUUAACCACCAAGAUCUCUGAGAGAU
Small nucleolar RNA from Scylla paramamosain (green mud crab), 70 nucleotides. RefSeq annotates it as small nucleolar RNA SNORD24. NCBI's taxonomy places the organism in Eukaryota, Metazoa, Arthropoda, Malacostraca, Decapoda, Portunidae. The transcript has a single exon. The record is from RefSeq and is a predicted model, not a curated record.